UACAGAGGUCUCAAGCGUUGUUCGGAUUCAUUGGGCGUAAAGCGCACGUAGGCGGUCCGGAAGUCGGGUGUGAAAUCCCUCGGCUCAACCGAGGAAGUGCAUUCGAAACUUCCGGACUUGAAUAUGGAAGAGGGUCGCGGAAUUCCCGGUGUAGAGGUGAAAUUCGUAGAUAUCGGGAGGAACACCAGUGGCGAAGGCGGCGACCUGGGCCAAUAUUGACGCUGAGGUGCGAAAGCGUGGGGAGCAAACAGG
This 252-nucleotide ribosomal RNA is filed under the name uncultured bacterium. RNAcentral describes it as "partial 16S ribosomal RNA". It matches the Rfam family "Bacterial small subunit ribosomal RNA", at positions 524 to 776 of the family's 1533-position model. The record is from RNAcentral.